UAGCUACGAGGUGAUCGGCUGUCUGCUGUCAAGCACUCCUGCAAUGAUGUACCGUGGUACCACAGAGUCAAUCAAGAGGGCCGAGAGACUUUGGACUGAAUCCUCUGAAAUCAGCCAUCGGUAUGAAAAAAGUGAGGUGAACCAUUCACUUGAGUGCUUCCAGAAAGAAAAUUUCCAUCUCAACAUUGUCAGCCUCUCCUCUUUCUCACGUGGCAUUGCUGGGGUGGACACUUGUACUGCCGUGGUAAGAAUCUACUCUAUAGCAAGGUUUGGAGCCUGCCUCUUUCUAAUCAUUUGAGAGUGGAUGCAGCUUCUUCAGUCAUCUAUACCCAGAUAACUAAGGCCUGAGCCGGUUUCACAGAACAAUCACAGGACAUGGGGCCCCAGUACACACUAUGACAGCACCUCCAUCUGACACGGCUUUGACAUAGCCCUGCAGAGGAAGCCCAGCUCCAAUUCGAUCCAGGGACUUUCAGCUUUUCUGAAGCAGAGCAGCUGGAUUCCCUACCUUACCGAGCUUUUCUAGCCAGCAGAGAGGUGCUCUUCCUGCUCCUGGAUAUGGAAAUCCCUCCUGGACAACAAGCCGGGAAGGCGUCCUCAAGUGAAUUUGAUCACCAAAACCCUUUUAUAAAGGAUAACCUCAUAGAAUUCAUGUCUGAAGAUCAACUUUCAGAAGUCAAACUUUUAAGAUGACAAAUACUUGGGUGUAGAGCAGAAUUCCAGUCAACGCGAUCUCCAAACACAGCCCUGGUGGGGGAGGCUGCGGAGUGUGCCCCGACCUUUCCCUGCGUGGGAGUGGAUACGUCCUACAGCUGCUUCGCAUGGUAACCAGCGCCUGUGAGCCUUCUGGAGGCUGUUAAUGUAUUUCAGAAGGAGAGCCCGGUCUAAUGUUUAGAGGAAGUUCUCGGGGCCUUCUACUGUAAAGUUACUCAUUAAACACCCUUUUCCCAGAGUGACUCUCACGUGCUAAGCCACGCACAUUGUGUGCGAGCUUGGGUUCCGGAGAUAUGCAUUUCAAAAGCAGUUUUAGUGGUUAUUGCUACCUUUAGACGCAUAAAAAAAUGACAUAUUAAAACACAACUUCUUUUAAGUCAAGGAGCCCAAGCAGUGUGACCAGAAUCACUGAAAUCCACCAAAAGGGCAUGUUACAGGUAGAGGUAUUUUAGUAUUUUUCAGAAUAAACUCUCCUUUAUUCUUUCUGUUCUGGUUGUCUUUUAAAUUGCUUGAAGGAUUAACCCAGCUCUUGGCAACACAGCCGGUUAAUAUUUUCUUCGCCAUCAUGUGCUAGAAUCCCGCUUAUGACACUUUACCCCAAAAUACCAUCAAGUUCUUCAGUGAAAAACUCCAGAGGGAGCGAAAGACAUCUUCCUGACAGUCAUUAUCUGCUAAGCUAUAUCAAAAUUGCAUUAGCAGGACCUUGUCCUCUAAAAUUGGAACUGAUAUAAAGGUACUAUAGACAUAGUUUCUAAUUAGAAAACAAUGUGUUUUCGCUGACUUCUAAGCCUAGAAAAAUAUUUCAGUGAAUAAGUUGCACUCUAGAUUAGUUUAGUUCUGAUUUUAAACCAGUUUCAUUCAUGGGUCUCAACUAAGUUUAUUGAUGUUUCACACUCCUUCUAAAAUAUGACGCACACGUGGCUUUUCCUGCACUGGUAGCUCAGUGCCUGGCCCCCUUGCUAUUUAUCUUGUCACACUGUUUCAGUUGUGGGGCCCCACGAUUCUACUGGGCAGAGUCGCCUUGAUAUCCUACACAAAAUUGGUGGCUCUUCUGGAGAUUGGCCAAAGGAAGUUAGUCUUUCUGUGCUUCUAUCUGUAUCUGUUAUCCAACCAUUAACCUUUGGAUUAAACCAGUAUGUUAUUAACUUUUUUUGUGUGUUUUCAAUUCUGCAG
This is a long non-coding RNA of Fukomys damarensis (Damara mole-rat), 1887 nucleotides long. RefSeq lists it as uncharacterized. The record is from RefSeq and is a predicted model, not a curated record. NCBI's taxonomy places the organism in Eukaryota, Metazoa, Chordata, Mammalia, Rodentia, Bathyergidae. The transcript has 8 exons.